GUGGGGAAUAUUGGACAAUGGGCGCAAGCCUGAUCCAGCCAUGCCGCGUGAGUGAUGAAGGCCUUAGGGUUGUAAAGCUCUUUCAGUGGGGACGAUAAUGAAGGUACCCACAGAAGAAGCCCCGGCUAACUUCGUGCCAGCAGCCGCGGCAAUACGAAGGGGGCUAGCGUUGUUCGGAUUUACUGGGCGUAAAGCGCACGUAGGCGGAUCGUUAAGUCGGGGGUGAAAUCCUGGAGCUCAACUCCAGAACUGCCUUCGAUACUGGCGAUCUUGAGUCCGGAAGAGGUGAGUGGAACUCCUAGUGUAGAGGUGGAAUUCGUAGAUAUUAGGAAGAACACCAGUGGCGAAGGCGGCUCACUGGUCCGGUACUGACGCUGAGGUGCGAAAGCGUGGGGAGCAAACAGGAUUAGAUACCCGAGUAGUCC
RNAcentral lists this ribosomal RNA (425 nucleotides) under uncultured bacterium. RNAcentral describes it as "partial 16S ribosomal RNA". It matches the Rfam family "Bacterial small subunit ribosomal RNA", at positions 354 to 796 of the family's 1533-position model. The record is from RNAcentral.